This 253-nucleotide ribosomal RNA is filed under the name uncultured bacterium. RNAcentral's name for it is "partial 16S ribosomal RNA". It matches the Rfam family "Bacterial small subunit ribosomal RNA", at positions 524 to 776 of the family's 1533-position model. The record is from RNAcentral.
UACGGAGGGUGCUAGCGUUGUUCGGAAUCACUGGGCGUAAAGGGCGUGUAGGCGGUCUGUUAAGUCUGAUGUGAAAUCCUCUCGCUUAACGAGGGAACUGCGUCGGAUACUGGCAGACUCGAGUACCGGAGAGGAAGGUGGAAUUCCCGGUGUAGCGGUGAAAUGCGUAGAUAUCUGGAAGAACACCAGUGGCGAAGGCGGCUCUCUGGGACGGUACUGACGCUGAGACGCGAAAGCGUGGGGAGCGAACAGG